GCCGGGUGUGGUGGCGCGCACCUGUAGUCCCAGCUACUUGGGAGGCUGAGGUAGGAGAAUCACUUGAGCCCAGGAGGCGGAGGUUGCUGUGAGCCAAGAUCAUGCCACUGCACUCCAGCCUGGGCGAUAGAGCAAGACUCUGUCUCAA
RNAcentral lists this non-coding RNA (148 nucleotides) under Gorilla gorilla gorilla (western lowland gorilla). The record is from Rfam by way of RNAcentral. Lineage: Eukaryota; Metazoa; Chordata; Mammalia; Primates; Hominidae.